CAGCAGCCGCGGUAAUACGUAGGGUGCAAGCGUUAAUCGGAAUUACUGGGCGUAAAGCGUGCGCAGGCGGUUAUAUAAGACAGAUGUGAAAUCCCCGGGCCCAACCUGGGAACUGCAUUUGUGACUGUAUAGCUAGAGUACGGCAGAGGGGGAUGGAAUUCCGCGUGUAGCAGUGAAAUGCGUAGAUAUGCGGAGGAACACCGAUGGCGAAGGCAAUCCCCUGGGCCUGUACUGACGCUCAUGCACGAAAGCGUGGGGAGCAAACAGGAUUAGAUACCCGAGUAGUCCCUGUCUCUUAUAC
RNAcentral lists this ribosomal RNA (301 nucleotides) under uncultured bacterium. RNAcentral describes it as "partial 16S ribosomal RNA". It matches the Rfam family "Bacterial small subunit ribosomal RNA", at positions 509 to 807 of the family's 1533-position model. The record is from RNAcentral.